GUUUUGAACGCACUUCUAGCACCGGUCACGUGGUGGGAACAUGAGUACUGUGGUGGUGUGCCCGUUGCCCCGUUCAUUUUGAACUACUUGGUUUUGGGCUUUCAGGCACGCUUUCUCGUGGGUGGGCAACUAUUUCUCUGAGCAAGUGAUGUCUAGCGGGUUCAGGAUUGUAUCCUUGCUGUGAUAUGCGAACCUCCUUCCCAGCCUGAGCAUCACCUGUUGGAUGAGGUAUUUCUCUGCUGCGACACAUGUCAGGUACUGUACACAGAGCACAAGUGGCUGCCAGACACCUGCCUAUCCACUGCAAUUGUAUUGUCGAAGUUCUGAACUGAUGGAAGCAGAUUGUCUAUCUACUUUACAUAGUACUGGAGCAAAAUUUUACAGGAUGUCACACCUAUUGUAUCUAGUAAAGAAAUGGAACUGUCUGCCAUGUGCAAUGAGGAUACCAUACUGAUUUCGGGCAACUGAAGUGCUUUGUGGUUCCAAUAAAUGUGGAAUUAAUAUUCUUUGUAAACAAAGGAGAUGUGAAGAACACUUGCGUAGAAAAAUGUAAUUACUAUAAAUGUGGAAUUACAAAAAAUAAACUUAACUAGGAAGACAAUAAAGCUAAACAUGCCUGUCAAUAGGUUCAAUGAGCUGACUACUGUUUUACAUAUCAACACCACAAUUAUCGAAAACCAUAGAAACCAUUUCAACAUGAACACAGCAGUAUAGAUUCGUUAAAAUUAUUUGUUAGUUGGCAUCUGUCACUUGUUGCUAAAGUGUUGGCACACCGGCUGCUGCUGUAUUAUAGGCAACAAACAGAGCAGGUCACUCAGCAAAUGCUGUUCAAUUUAAUUUUCAUGUUAAAAAAAGUAGGUUUAGCUCAGUAGAGGCAGAGCACAGGUUGGGAUUAUGAAAGGAUGGGAGACGUAACUCUGUGCAGUGUGAAGUGGCCAUUAUGAAAUGACAUGAAUGACAUGCCCUGCUGACAACUGGUUUUGGGGUGACCAAUGGCAUAACUGUUGCAGAUGUGACAUUUUAUAGCCCUGAACUAAUUUGAUAAACUAACCACAACAAGAUGUGCAGUAUAUCCUAGAAAUGGCUGUCAGAAUUCUACAGAAGAACUGUUAAUUGUACUCUGUUCACAACAAUUAAUACAUUUAAUGCCAUGUGACCACAGGCAGUUGCAGUAGUCUCACACCUAAUGCUGUUCCGUGACCUGGCUUGGCUUGAUGGUGAGACCAAUAUCCGAACACUAACGCAGACAUUGAUCUUAAGAAUGCAAGUGAUCAAAGCCGAACGUUACAAUUUAAUGUCCAAAAACAAGAAGUGCAGCUGCAGACCGUAUUUUAAUUUGCGAAUUGUAACACUUAAAACAGGGAUUUAAAAGAAAGUGUGAUUCGUUAAAACCAAAUUUCAGGAACACUGUUUUUAUGGUGUUAUCGCCAGGACCAACAAAAGUAUUCCUUAAAAUCGGGUUUGUUAAUACGGGGUUUUACUGUAGCUUCAAAAAUUCUUCACCUACCUUCGUCUUUCACAUAAUACAGUACAAUUUGUCUUGCCUCUUUAGUUAUACAGACUUGCCCUUUAAUGUUUAGAAAUAUUGUUGUCUCUUGCAUUGUCAUCUACAGCUUAACAAUUCAAUCACGAAUAUCAAGUGUAACAUAUUUUUACCUCUGCAGUGUCAUUCGAAAAUAUAUACAGAACUUCUGUAUGUCCUUUUCCCCUCAAUCCUGUCUGAGGGUGACACUCCUUUUCACCUCUACUACGGAGUGGGCAUAUCCAGAAUCUGUGCCGGGAUUUGUCACUGUGGUACGCUUCCAGUGCUUUGCACAGAAUGUGGAUGCACCACACUGUUUAAUUUUUCUUGUAUUUUGCGUGCUAAUGCAAGUUCAGUCACAGCUGUUGUAAAUGACACACGCGAGGCACGGGCUACAGUAUUGUUGUGCACACCAUACUGCAUAUUGUGGUACUCUCACAUCAAACCAUUCCUGACAUUUCCUUUUUGUCCCUCUUUCAAACAAUUUGCGUUUGGUUAAUCAUUUUGGAAGGGGUUUAUUUCAAUAAAUGAUGAGGGAUCCUAGGCGGGUCCGCCAAAUGUCAGGGGUUUUAACAAGAAUGCUUUUAUUUGUUCACUUUCCCUAAUGGAUCGGGUUGUUGGCUCUGGCUGAAGGCCUGUUAUGAGACCCAACCUGU
This is a long non-coding RNA of Schistocerca piceifrons (Central American locust), 2178 nucleotides long. RefSeq lists it as uncharacterized. The record is from RefSeq and is a predicted model, not a curated record. The transcript is spliced from 3 exons. Lineage: Eukaryota; Metazoa; Arthropoda; Insecta; Orthoptera; Acrididae.